Molecule: ribosomal RNA, 407 nt
Filed under: uncultured microorganism
Description: bacterial SSU rRNA
Rfam family: Bacterial small subunit ribosomal RNA
Source: RNAcentral
CAGCCGCCGCGGUAAUACGGAGGGCGCGAGCGUUGUCCGGAUUCACUGGGCGUAAAGCGGGUGUAGGCGGCCCGUUAAGACAGGUGUGAAAUCCCUGGGCUCAACCUAGGAAUUGCGCUUGUGACUGGCGGGCUCGAGUACGGUAGAGGGGGGUGGAAUUCCUGGUGUAGCAGUGAAAUGCGUAGAGAUCAGGAGGAACACCGAUGGCGAAGGCGGCCUCCUGGCCCGUUCCUGACGCUGAGACCCGAAAGCGUGGGGAGCAAACCGGAUUAGAUCCCCGGGUAGUCCACGCCGUAAACGGUGGGCACUAGGUGUGGGGGGUUAAUCCCUCCGUGCCGAAGCUAACGCAUUAAGUGCCCCGCCUGGGGAGUACGGCCGCAAGGUUGAAACUUAAAGGAAUUGGCGGG